CUAUGAUUUGUGCAUGUUCUCUACAUUCUUGUUGCAAAUAAAAUUAGCUUGGUUUUAGAAAACUUUAAUUAGCUGCCUGCACUGGAAAUACCUACAUUACUUGUGGCACAGUUAUCUUUUUGGUGAAUUCCAAGAUCUGGUUGGCAUUACCUAAUUAUUUUUCCAAACCUUCACCAUUCCAGCUAGCAUCUUCCAUGCUGCUUGUCUGCUGCAACCAAAUUAUUCUGGGAAGCUUAAGUGAGAAUUGCUUGGCUAUUUCUCAAAAGGAGUUCAUAAAAAAUUUUUGAAGAGUGUUUUCUUUUUAAAUUCUGUAAACAAUUUGGCUGGAAAUCUUUAGUUCUUUCAUAGUUUGGAGAAAGGACUGGAUAUUUGGCAGACUCAUUAUCUUUUCCAACUUUAGGUGUGCUUUCUGCAGAGCCUGUGAAAAUUUGUCCAUCUAUUUCUAAGUUAUACUAAAGUUUCUCUGGGCCCUAUUGUGCUCAAUUUUGACAGAUAUAUUUUCUGUAACUCCCCUUUGCUCCAGGCAAUCUUGAGUCUAACCUUAGUCAUCAGCAGCUAAGUGAGGCUUUGACUGUAGUUCUUUUUCCUCUCCAUUCAGAGGAGGUUGAACCUCUCAGACCUCAGGCUGAGCGAAAAAGCUGUCAAUAGGUGCUGCCUAUGGGAGCUGCUGGCUAUGGGAGAAGAGGAGCAGCAGCCUGGAACACAAAUUUGAUGUUGUACCUGGUAGCUACAAGAAGUUGGUUGUCAGAGAUAGCUGAAGAGGAAUACGGAGAUAAGAAAAUGGUGAGGAGGGAAAGCCCUGUGACAACAAGAGCGUGUUCCUCUACUGCCUAAUUAAUAUCUUGGGCUUCCAAAGCAUCCAAGGCCUUUUGCUGUUUCUAAAUAGCCAUCAUGAGCAGCCAGAAAAAGGGCAGCUUUAGUUCUGCUUGUGAUGAGGACAGCAGUGUUUGGUUUCCAUCAUUAGUCGUUACUUUCUUUGCUCAGUGUUCUGAUGGGCAGAUGAAAACUGUUGAAGAACAGGGCUGUUUCAGGGCUGAAUGAGAUGCCAUAAUUCAGGCCCAGUCAGACAACACAGUGGGUGUUGUUGUGGCCUCAUGUGUUCUGUCAUAUGCCUUUUUUCUUGGGAAGAGGAGAUCAGUUUAGGAAAUUGUGCACAUAAAAACUCCUGUGUUAAGGGAUACUAAGAUUAAUUAUUCAGUUAAAAAAAAAAA
Molecule: long non-coding RNA, 1211 nt
Filed under: Taeniopygia guttata (zebra finch)
Lineage: Eukaryota; Metazoa; Chordata; Aves; Passeriformes; Estrildidae
Description: lncRNA (ENSTGUG00000025191.1)
Source: RNAcentral